Molecule: long non-coding RNA, 894 nt
Filed under: Ailuropoda melanoleuca (giant panda)
Lineage: Eukaryota; Metazoa; Chordata; Mammalia; Carnivora; Ursidae
Description: lncRNA (ENSAMEG00000024572.1)
Source: RNAcentral
AUUUGUGAGAUAUUUCCAUAAUUCCUCCUUUUUAGCAUUUCCACUUAAGCAUGUAAAUUUAGAGUCUCCUUUCCCCUGGUUUGUAGCAGAGGUUUCUUGGAUCAUAUAUGAUCCAAGCCAAAUAACAACAAAAAAGGCUAUGGCUGUGCCCUAUCUUCAAAAUUUCAGACCUCCCUGAGUUGGCUAGACUGGACCAGCACUCUGCACAGACAGACCCACAAGCUUGAAACCCACGGCCAGUGGGCAGAAGUGUCUGUUCAGGGUGCAAGAAGAGGAAGACGACAAGGAGGACAUGUGGUUUUGUGCUGGAAGCCAUCUGUGACCACCACCUGCCAUCUAGGAAGAGUGCUCCUACCUUCAGCCAGGGCUUUGAGGAAAGGGAAUCUGACGACGGGUUUGACACGGAGGAGAAUCUACCUCCCGGGCUGAGCAGGCUGAGAGUGCAUGCGGCUUCUCUGGCCCGCAGCUUUAUGGGAGCACCAAGCACGUUAUUGACCCAGAGAAUGGCUUGUCGUCUUCCGGUGUGAAAGUCCAUGAGAAAUACACGGGGAAAUGUACGUCCACCCCGCGGGGAAGGCGGGGCAGGCCCCUGCAGCGGAUGGCAUUUUUCUCUGACUGCCUGGCAGUCACUACCACUGAGUCGGAAUGAAUACAGAGCAAGAACUUGAAAAAUACCGUGCUACGGCCUCAUCUGUGUGCAGAGGCUGUCUCUUUGAGCACCCAAGGAGGNGUGUCUCUUCGAGCACCCAAGGAGCGCUGCUGUUCUCCCGGCAUGGCCAGCUGCAGCCACAUCAUUUGACCGCGGUCAGGCCUGGCCCCUGGCACUCUUGGUGCUCAUUCACUGCUCCCUUUUGGUUCCACUGUUUGGAAGCGGGCAUCGUGAAGGUGCCCUGA